RNAcentral lists this ribosomal RNA (453 nucleotides) under uncultured bacterium. Its description in RNAcentral is "bacterial SSU rRNA". It matches the Rfam family "Bacterial small subunit ribosomal RNA", at positions 340 to 786 of the family's 1533-position model. The record is from RNAcentral.
UACGGGAGGCAGCAGUGGGGAAUAUUGCACAAUGGGCGCAAGCCUGAUGCAGCCAUGCCGCGUGUAUGAAAAAGGCCUUCGGGUUGUAAAGUACUUUCAGCCGUGAGGAAGGUGUUAAGGUUAAUAACCUUAGCAAUUGACGUUAGCGACAGAAGAAGCACCGGCUAACUCCGUGCCAGCAGCCGCGGUAAUACGGAGGGUGCGAGCGUUAAUCGGAAUUACUGGGCGUAAAGGGCACGCAGGCGGUUAAUUAAGUUGGAUGUGAAAUCCCCGGGCUUAACCUGGGAAUGGCAUUCAAGACUGGUUAGCUAGAGUCUUGUAGAGGGGGUAGAAUUCCAUGUGUAGCGGUGAAAUGCGUAGAGAUGUGGAGGAAUACCGGUGGCGAAGGCGGCCCCUGGACAAAGACUGACGCUCAUGUGCGAAAGCGUGGGGAGCAAACAGGGAUUAGAUACC